CGUGAGGGAAAGGUGAAAAGAACCCCGGGAGGGGAGUGAAAUAGAACCUGAAACCCUGCACUUACAAGCUGUGGGAGCACAUUACUUGUGUGACCGCGUACUUUUUGUAGAACGGGCCAACGAGUUACGUUAAGUAGCAAGGUUAAGCACUUAAGGUGUGGAGCCGUAGCGAAAGCGAGUCUUAAAUGGGCGAUUAAGUUACUUGGCGUAGACCCGAAACCGGGCGACCUAUCCAUGAGCAGGUUGAAGCGAAAGUAAAAUUUCGUGGAGGACCGAACCCACGAGCGUUGAAAAGCUCGGGGAUGACUUGUGGAUAGCGGUGAAAUUCCAAUCGAGCCCGGAGAUAGCUGGUUCUCCCCGAAAUAGCUUUAGGGCUAGCCUCAAGCGUAGAGAAACGGAGGUAGAGCACUGAAUGUCCUAGGGGGUAUUGCACUUACCGAAGACUAUCAAACUCCGAAUGCCGUAUUCUUUUGCUUGGGAGUCAGACUAUGGGUGAUAAGAUUCAUAGUCAAAAGGGCAACAGCCCAGAUCGUCAGCUAAGGUCCCUAAAUGUACGUUAAGUGGUAAAGGAUGUGGGAUUGCACAGACAACCAGGAUGUUGGCUUAGAAGCAGCCACUCAUUUAAAGAGUGCGUAAUAGCUCACUGGUCGAGUGAUCCUGCGCCGAAAAUUUCCGGGGCUAAAACGUACUACCGAAGCUACGGCAUCAUUUAUGAUGGGUAGGGGAGCUUCGUAUGCAGGCUGAAGCAUGACCGUAAGGACAUGUGGACAGUAUACGAGUGAGAAUGUUGGCAUGAGUAGCGAGACGUGGGUGAGAAUCCCACGGGCCGUAAACCCAAGGUUUCCAGGGGAAGGUUCGUCCGCCCUGGGUUAGUCGGGACCUAAGCCGAGGCCGAAAGGCGUAGGUGAUGGACAACAGGUUGAUAUUCCUGUACCGCCAAUAAGCGUUUGAGAGAUGGAGUGACACAGUAGGAUAAGCUAACCGUACUGUUGGUUAUGUACGGCUAAGCAUUGAGGCAGUCUAAAUAGGCAAAUCCGUUUAGACAAUGCUAGGAUGUGAUGGGGAAGCCCUUCGGGGCGAAGUAGCUGAUUUCACACUGUCAAGAAAAGCUUCUAUCGAGUUUAAAGGCGCCCGUACCGUAAACCGACACAGGUGGGUGAGGAGAGUAUCCUAAGGCCAGCGAGAGAACUAUUGUUAAGGAACUCGGCAAAAUGACCCCGUAACUUAGGGAGAAGGGGUGCCUGUCUAUGACAGGCCGCAGAGAAUAGGCCCAAGCGACUGUUUACCAAAAACACAGGUUUCUGCUAAGUCGCAAGACGAUGUAUAGGAGCUGACGCCUGCCCGGUGCUGGAAGGUUAAGGGGAUCUGUUAGAGCAAUCGAAGCAGUGAACUUAAGCCCCAGUAAACGGCGGCCGUAACUAUAACGGUCCUAAGGUAGCGAAAUUCCUUGUCGGGUAAGUUCCGACCCGCACGAAAGGCGUAACGAUUUGGGCACUGUCUCAACAAUAGACUCGGUGAAAUUGUAAUCCCGGUGAAGAUGCCGGGUACCUGCGACAGGACGGAAAGACCCCAUGGAGCUUUACUGUAGCUUGACGUUGGGUCUUGGUACUACAUGUACAGGAUAGGUGGGAGACUAUGAAGCAUGGACGCCAGUCUGUGUGGAGUCAUCCUUGGGAUACCACCCUUGUAGUACUGGGAUCCUAACCAUAGGCCUUGAAUCAGGUCUUGGAACACCGUCAGGUGGGCAGUUUGACUGGGGCGGUCGCCUCCUAAAAAGUAACGGAGGCGCUCAAAGGUUUCCUCAGCACGGUCGGAAAUCGUGCGAAGAGUGUAAAGGCAAAAGGAAGCUUGAUUGCAAGACAUACAGGUCGAGCAAGGACGAAAGUCGGACUUAGUGAUCCGGUGGUACCGCAUGGAAGGGCCAUCGCUCAACGGAUAAAAGCUACCCUGGGGAUAACAGGCUUAUCUCCCCCAAGAGUCCACAUCGACGGGGAGGUUUGGCACCUCGAUGUCGGCUCAUCACAUCCUGGGGCUGUAGUAGGUCCCAAGGGUUGGGCUGUUCGCCCAUUAAAGUGGUACGCGAGCUGGGUUCAGAACGUCGUGAGACAGUUCGGUCCCUAUCCGUCGCAGGCGUAGGAAAUUUGAGAAGACCUGUCCUUAGUACGAGAGGACCGGGAUGGACGUACCUCUGGUGUACCAGUUGUUCUGCCAAGGGCAUGGCUGGGUAGCUAUGUACGGAAUGGAUAAGCGCUGAAAGCAUCUAAGCGCGAAGCCAACUUCAAGAUAAGAUUUCCCACCGUAAGGGUAAGACCCCAGGAAGACUACCUGGUUGA
This 2333-nucleotide ribosomal RNA is filed under the name human gut metagenome. RNAcentral's name for it is "bacterial LSU rRNA". It matches the Rfam family "Bacterial large subunit ribosomal RNA", at positions 502 to 2856 of the family's 2925-position model. The record is from RNAcentral.